AAAUUUUUUUUUUUGGUUUUUGGAUGCACAGGAACGGUCAGAAGUUCACCGAAAUAAUCAAACUUUUACCCAUACUUUCAACUGCUCGUAACUCCUCAGGAGUGC
Bradysia coprophila is the source of this 105-nucleotide long non-coding RNA. NCBI's taxonomy places the organism in Eukaryota, Metazoa, Arthropoda, Insecta, Diptera, Sciaridae. The record is from RefSeq and is a predicted model, not a curated record.